Molecule: ribosomal RNA, 437 nt
Filed under: uncultured bacterium
Lineage: Bacteria
Description: partial 16S ribosomal RNA
Rfam family: Bacterial small subunit ribosomal RNA
Source: RNAcentral
CUACGGGCUGCUCCAGUGAGGAAUAUUGCACAAUGGAGGAAACUCUGAUGCAGCAACGCCGCGUGGAGGAUGACGCAUUUCGGUGUGUAAACUCCUUUUAUAUGUCAAGAAAAUGACGGUAGCAUAUGAAUAAGCUCCGGCUAACUCCGUGCCAGCAGCCGCGGUAAUACGGAGGGAGCAAGCGUUACUCGGAAUCACUGGGCGUAAAGGACGCGUAGGCGGGAUAGAAAGUCAGGUGUGAAAUCCUAUGGCUCAACCAUAGAACUGCACUUGAAACUUCUAACCUAGAGUAUGGGAGGGGAAGAUGGAAUUAGUGGUGUAGGGGUAAAAUCCGUAGAUAUCACUAGGAAUACCAAAAGCGAAGGCGAUCUUCUGGAACAAUACUGACGCUAAGGCGUGAAAGCGUGGGGAGCAAACAGGAUUAGACCCUCGUAGUC